Macrobrachium nipponense is the source of this 129-nucleotide small nucleolar RNA. RefSeq annotates it as small nucleolar RNA SNORA53. The record is from RefSeq and is a predicted model, not a curated record. Lineage: Eukaryota; Metazoa; Arthropoda; Malacostraca; Decapoda; Palaemonidae. The transcript has a single exon.
AGCAUGUUCCUUAGAUCCACCAGAUGGGACUCAGUCCACCAACUUUUCCGGUUGGGUAGCGCUGGUGAAUGAGUCAUUGACAUGCGAGACAAUGGUAUCUCCUCUGUCAACCAGACCUCUCUAGUCACU